Molecule: non-coding RNA, 1671 nt
Organism: Aegilops tauschii subsp. strangulata
Lineage: Eukaryota; Viridiplantae; Streptophyta; Magnoliopsida; Poales; Poaceae
Source: RefSeq, a predicted model, not a curated record
UAUGCUAGCAACAGGUUGCAGUAUAUAUGUAGAACAAUAACCCUUCCAGAAUGUCAUCAAAUAACUACCAAUUCUGUCUUCAUGAUUUUUGCCAUUCAAUAGUUGCAUAUGGGGAAUUCAAAAAGCACGGUUGGCGAACAUCAACCUAAAGAUGACGUAACUACAGGUCUUACAAGCGGGAGAAGUGAUGCAGAACACAAUGCGAGCAUCAUACCCGUAGCUGAAAUUGUUGAUAACGUCUACUCGACGGAAUCAAGUAUAAUACUGUCCGGAGAUUGGUUAUAAAUGUUGCUUCACGUCCAUUUCUGAAAGUGGCAGAAUGCAUGAUGUGUUGCAGUCCUUACGGGCGGGAUAAAUGUUGGAGACCACAAUGCAAACUUCAUACCCUUACAUGCAGGUAUAAGACUGUGUCAAGAUUGCUGCUAAUGUUUCGUGCAUACCGUAUAUUUUGUUGAUUGCUAAGAUGUAGGGCGGGAACCUUCAAACGACGGGAUUCCGUCGUAUUCUGAGAAUAAUAAGGAUGGUACGACUAAGCUACGAGAUGAUACUCAAGAUGACAAAACUUCCGAGCAGCAUGCAACAGUAGCUGUAUUUAAUGAAGAAAAAAAAACGUUGACGAAACAAGGGAGCAGUUCAACGCACAGAGGCGUGAAUCUUAUCGGAAGAAAAAAGAGGAGGAUAUGGUCAGGUUACAAGAGUAUAAUCAGCCAUCCCUUUCAAAGACUGACCAUAGGGAUCUUAUCAACGCGUGGAGGCGGGCAUCUUAUCGCACUAAGAAGUCAGAUGGUUUUAUAAACCAUCUAGACGAUGGGCCGAUUGUUCACCGUCGUACUCUAUGUGAUAUCACAAAUGUUCAACAACCUUCAUAUGUGAUCCCUGGUACUUAUUUGGGAGAUUUACAAUGUCGUUAAUUAUAUGUGCGUAUUUGACAAUCAUACUAUUUGUGAUUAUGUUUAACUUCUCUUUGCUUUCUGAACGCCCGUGGUGGAUAACUAUAGGAACUAAUGUUGGGGCGGAUCAUAUGUUGGGGCAGCUAAUCAAACCCACGCGAGAUGAUAAGCACAGGAAAGUUGAUCUUCGUCCCCUUUGUAAUUCAAAUGACCCAGCUAGCUCGGUUGAUACAUCAAUCUCGCAUAAUGAAUCAACAUAUCCUCCUAAAGCUACGGGAGCGUCUGAUGUAAUUGCAGAUGAAAAUAUAAAAGGUAAAAUGAUUGUGCUUUUUCCAUACUCGUUUGCUGUCAUGUUGUUUUUACCUUUCGCUUUUGAGAUAAACCCAUGGAAGACAUCAGUAGAUAACUUGAAUGAUAGCACAGAAAAUAGGCAAGUAACAGAAGAAGAACGCAAACGAGACCGUAAAAAAGAUUUGAGGAGAGCUGCAUAUCGGCAGAGAAAAGAUCGGAAUCUCCAAGAUGAACAUGCACAGGCCCUUAUUUUAUCUGGUAACCUCUAAAGGUUUUCACCUUUUUAUUCAGUACCCGACUUCGUGUCUUAAUGAUUAAGUUUUCCGCAUGUUUUCAUCAAUUUGUUUAACCAGCCAACCCAACUAGCUCCAACUAUAAAUCAUUCUCGGUUGAUGCGACGACAUUUCAUGCUACAACUACUGUCACAUCUGGUCUCAUUAAUGACAUGGAGGUACAAGAUGUGGUCUUGAAUAACACCCAAGAAACAAAG